This is a long non-coding RNA of Homo sapiens (human), 1184 nucleotides long. RefSeq annotates it as RB1 divergent transcript. NCBI's taxonomy places the organism in Eukaryota, Metazoa, Chordata, Mammalia, Primates, Hominidae. The transcript is spliced from 3 exons. The record is from RefSeq and is marked validated.
ACGUCCGCGAGGCUCCCGGGCCCGCCGGCGUCUGUGGGGAACUGGGGCGCUGGUCGGUGCGCGGGCUGGGACGCUAAGUCAUGAGGAAUUAAACUGGGAAACCUGGCGUGGGUCCAGGCGCCUUCCAGGAGGCAUCCGGCGCGGCCCGGACGUGCUUCUACCCAGAACCACCCCCUCCAGGCCGGGGUGCACUUAACGGGGCUAUACAAAGAGUCUGGUGGGUGACUGUGGGCCUCAUCCCUAUCCCGGGGUCUGAUAGGGAAGACUCUCGGGCCCCGCAGGGAAUAUCUGGCUAGUGCACCCUCGGCGGGAGCGCCACUCUCCCUCCUUGGGCGGCGCCCCCCACCUCUCAUCCCGCCCAAUCCGUUUUGCAAAGUCGGCCAAAACAAAAACAAACUUGGAGCGCUGAUAGACACUGUUAUUGCCCAUCUGAACUCGUCAACUGAGAAGGAAAGAGAUGGUUUAUGCUGUGAAUAAAAUACAGUUGUGCUGUGAUGUAAAUCCCCUCAUCCUGGAGCAGCUGAGCAAGGUCUAAGGCAGGAAGAACCUUCAAGCAGGUCAUGGCUUGCAGGCUCAACUCUGCCUGGCAGUGGCAAGGGCCAGGGCCAGUGACUGAAGCAACAAACUGCCAGAUGACUGCAGCUCAAGCCAAUGCACAAAGCCACUGCAACAAGAGAGGAAAUUCUUCCAUUUCCAAGUGUGUCGAUUUCUCCCCAUCAAGGAAAACAGCUAAGGCAAUGUGUUGAUAUUUUCUUUGACCAAGUCAUCAGGAGUCACAUAGACAUACAGCACUCAAGAAGUGGCUGUAACUAAAGGCACAUCUCGUUCAUCUACAACCCUUGUAAUCCCAACCUUUGUCUGAUGCACAAACCCUUCCCUAGUUCUCCCCACCACCACCACUGCACCUCCAAGUGGGGACAACGAAUUGUUUCAUUUGCAUGUGGUUUUUCUCAUGAAAAAUAUCAUUAACAUGAGACAGCCCCAAACCAAGGAAACCAGAAGUGGGGUUUGUGCUUGGUCUUACUGAGAGCUUUCCCUACUUGACCAGACCCCAGCAUUGUUCUAGAUUUGUCUCUUGUGGGCUACAGGAAUGCAAACAUUUUGUAGUUUCCUCUUUUUUGUUUUCUUAAUGGCUUGAUGAGCCACACAUGUUUCUCUAAAUGCAUGAUUUUAAAUUCACACAA